Molecule: ribosomal RNA, 404 nt
Filed under: Priestia megaterium
Lineage: Bacteria; Bacillati; Bacillota; Bacilli; Caryophanales; Bacillaceae
Description: bacterial SSU rRNA
Rfam family: Bacterial small subunit ribosomal RNA
Source: RNAcentral
CUAAUACAUGCAAGUCGAGCGAACUGAUUAGAAGCUUGCUUCUAUGACGUUAGCGGCGGACGGGUGAGUAACACGUGGGCAACCUGCCUGUAAGACUGGGAUAACUUCGGGAAACCGAAGCUAAUACCGGAUAGGAUCUUCUCCUUCAUGGGAGAUGAUUGAAAGAUGGUUUCGGCUAUCACUUACAGAUGGGCCCGCGGUGCAUUAGCUAGUUGGUGAGGUAACGGCUCACCAAGGCCACGAUGCAUAGCCGACCUGAGAGGGUGAUCGGCCACACUGGGACUGAGACACGGCCCAGACUCCUACGGGAGGCAGCAGUAGGGAAUCUUCCGCAAUGGACGAAAGUCUGACGGAGCAACGCCGCGUGAGUGAUGAAGGCUUUCGGGUCGUAAAACUCUGUUGUG